RNAcentral lists this long non-coding RNA (328 nucleotides) under Lathyrus oleraceus (garden pea). Its description in RNAcentral is "Pisum sativum (pea) long non-coding RNA (PSAT_LNC014356)". The record is from RNAcentral. Lineage: Eukaryota; Viridiplantae; Streptophyta; Magnoliopsida; Fabales; Fabaceae.
GAAAAAUGAUUUGAUGAUGCUCCAUUUUUUCUCUUUAUGGUGAAUGAGGGUGAAAAUGGGUUUUAGAGUGGAAGAUGGUGAAAUGGGAUUUUAAUGGUGGAAAUUGGAAAUGGAAGUAGGAUUAGUAAUGGGAUUUUGGUUGAGUAGAAUUUUAAUGGGAUUUGAGUGGGUUUUAAUGGAGGUCUAAGAUGGAGAAAAUGGGGAUUUUGGAAGUUUUAAGAUGAGAUUUUGAGUGAAAAUAGAGGUUUGGUUCGCUUCUGCCCAAGAUAGUGCUCAGACUCCAUGGCGCCCGCCAUCUUUGUAAUUCAAGUUGGGCCGGAUUUUGUUG